AGCUACAGAUAUGAAUCGCGGGACUAAAUGAGACGACAAAUAGCCCUCUCAUUUGCUUCAAACGGUUUUUGGAUCGGCCUUACGGAUCCUGAACGGGAAGAAGUUGUUCAGACUGCUUUUUCCAUUAAAACUGACUGGGUGUCUCAUAAAGUCAGAUAAAGUCUCUGACACACACUGCAGUCUCAUCACUAUAGCAACAGAAUGCAGAGGAAGGCAGAGCAGCUGGUUUGGACUACAAAGACUCUGUAGUUCUAAACAUGGUGGAACACUUUAAUGCAGAGGGCUGAGCAGAAGGUCAGAACUACAACAUGGCGGAACACUCAAUUAUUACAGAGGAGGCCUCAGCUAGCAGUUAGAACUACCUCCUGUUUUUGGCAUUAUACAGGUGGAUUAACCAAACCACUGUUACACAUUGGAUUAGUGUGGUUAUGAAAAUUAAGUUUACUGAAAGUUUCAAAAUAAAACUCUGCAAUGUCUACUCACGACAGUGCACCGCCAUAGGCGGUGCAAAAAUAUUAAGCUUUUGUAUGUGUUUUUUUUCUCAGGAUAGUGAGUUCAUUAACAUUAGCAUUUCAUGGGUGUCUCAAAGAUAGAAAUCCUUCCCCAGCUUUCUGUCUCACACACACAGCAGUUGGCUGAGGGCCAAUCGCUAUAGCAAAGGUUUCCAGAGAAA
This is a long non-coding RNA of Poecilia latipinna (sailfin molly), 673 nucleotides long. RefSeq lists it as uncharacterized. Lineage: Eukaryota; Metazoa; Chordata; Actinopteri; Cyprinodontiformes; Poeciliidae. The transcript has 2 exons. The record is from RefSeq and is a predicted model, not a curated record.